GACCCUGUCGUCUAGUGGCCAAGGACCUCAAGAUUUCCUCCUGAAGACGCUGGUUCGAAUCCAGCUGGGGUCGCCA
RNAcentral lists this transfer RNA (76 nucleotides) under Aliarcobacter cryaerophilus. RNAcentral's name for it is "tRNA-Glu". It matches the Rfam family "tRNA". From Rfam's summary of the family: Transfer RNA (tRNA) molecules are approximately 80 nucleotides in length. Their secondary structure includes four short double-helical elements and three loops (D, anti-codon, and T loops). The record is from RNAcentral. Lineage: Bacteria; Pseudomonadati; Campylobacterota; Epsilonproteobacteria; Campylobacterales; Arcobacteraceae.